RNAcentral lists this ribosomal RNA (492 nucleotides) under uncultured bacterium. Its description in RNAcentral is "partial 16S ribosomal RNA". It matches the Rfam family "Bacterial small subunit ribosomal RNA", at positions 29 to 507 of the family's 1533-position model. The record is from RNAcentral.
AGUGAACGCUGGCGGUAGGCCUAACACAUGCAAGUCGAACGGCAGCACAGUAAGAGCUUGCUCUUACGGGUGGCGAGUGGCGGACGGGUGAGGAAUACAUCGGAAUCUACUUUUUCGUGGGGGAUAACGUAGAGAAACUUACGCUAAUACCGCAUACGACCUACGGGUGAAAGCAGGGGAUCUUCGGACCUUGCGCGAUUGAAUGAGCCGAUGUCGGAUUAGCUAGUUGGCGGGGUAAAGGCCCACCAAGGCGACGAUCCGUAGCUGGUCUGAGAGGAUGAUCAGCCACACUGGAACUGAGACACGGUCCAGACUCCUACGGGAGGCAGCAGUGGGGAAUAUUGGACAAUGGGCGCAAGCCUGAUCCAGCCAUACCGCGUGGGUGAAGAAGGCCUUCGGGUUGUAAAGCCCUUUUGUUGGGAAAGAAAAGCAGCAGGUUAAUACCCCGCUGUUCCGACGGUACCCAAAGAAUAAGCACCGGCUAACUUCGUG